This 479-nucleotide ribosomal RNA is filed under the name uncultured bacterium. Its description in RNAcentral is "SSU rRNA". It matches the Rfam family "Bacterial small subunit ribosomal RNA", at positions 26 to 518 of the family's 1533-position model. The record is from RNAcentral.
AGAAUCAACGCUGGCGGCGUGCCUCAGACAUGCAAGUCGAACGAUUAAACUUUCCUUCGGGAAAGAUAUAAAGUGGCGCACGGGUGAGUAACACGUAGGUAAUGUACCUUUGGGUGGGGAAUAACUUAGGGAAACUUAAGCUAAUACCGCAUAAUGCAGCGGCUCCUUCGGGAGACAGUUGUUAAAGAUUUAUCGCCUAAAGAGCAGCCUGCGGCAGAUUAGCUAGUUGGUAAGGUAACGGCUUACCAAGGCUACGAUCUGUAUCCGACCUGAGAGGGUGGUCGGGACACGACUGACACUGAAUAACGGGUCAGACUCCUACGGAGGCAGCAGUCGGGAAUUUUGGGCAAUGGGCGAAAGCCUGACCCAGCAACGCCGCGUGAAGGAUGAAGUCUUUCGGGAUGUAAACUUCGUAAGAAUAGGAAGAAUAAAUGACGGUACUAUUUGUAAGGUCCGGCUAACUACGUGCCAGCAGCCGC